UACAGAGGUGGCAAGCGUUGUUCGGAAUUACUGGGCGUAAAGGGCGCGUAGGCGGCCUUCUAAGUCGAACGUGAAAUCCCCGGGCUCAACCCGGGAACUGCGUCCGAGACUGGAAGGCUUGAAUCCGGGAGAGGGAUGUGGAAUUCCAGGUGUAGCGGUGAAAUGCGUAGAUAUCUGGAGGAACAUCGGUGGCGAAGGCGGCAUCCUGGACCGGUAUUGACGCUGAGGCGCGAAAGCCAGGGGAGCAAACGGG
This 253-nucleotide ribosomal RNA is filed under the name uncultured bacterium. RNAcentral describes it as "partial 16S ribosomal RNA". It matches the Rfam family "Bacterial small subunit ribosomal RNA", at positions 524 to 776 of the family's 1533-position model. The record is from RNAcentral.